ACCCGCUGAACUUAAGCAUAUCAAUAAGCGGAGGAAAAGAAACCAACAGGGAUUGCCCUAGUAACGGCGAGUGAAGCGGCAACAGCUCAAAUUUGAAAUCUGGCUCUUUUAGAGUCCGAGUUGUAAUUUGCAGAGGGCGCUUUGGCUUUGGCAGCGGUCCAAGUUCCUUGGAACAGGACGUCACAGAGGGUGAGAAUCCCGUACGUGGUCGCUGGCUAUUGCCGUGUAAAGCCCCUUCGACGAGUCGAGUUGUUUGGGAACGCAGCUCUAAAUGGGAGGUACAUUUCUUCUAAAGCUAAAUAUUGGCCAGAGACCGAUAGCGCACAAGUAGAGUGAUCGAAAGAUGAAAAGCACUUUGGAAAGAGAGUCAAACAGCACGUGAAAUUGUUGAAAGGGAAGCGCUUGCAGCCAGACUUGCUUACAGUUGCUCAUCCGGGCUUUUGCCCGGUGCACUCUUCUGUAGGCAGGCCAGCAUCAGUUUGGGCGGUAGGAUAAAGGUCUCUGUCACGUACCUCUCUUCGGGGAGGCCUUAUAGGGGAGACGACAUACUACCAGCCUGGACUGAGGUCCGCGCAUCUGCUAGGAUGCUGGCGUAAUGGCUGU
This 603-nucleotide ribosomal RNA is filed under the name uncultured fungus. RNAcentral's name for it is "eukaryotic LSU rRNA". It matches the Rfam family "Eukaryotic large subunit ribosomal RNA", at positions 23 to 641 of the family's 3401-position model. The record is from RNAcentral. Lineage: Eukaryota; Fungi.